This 253-nucleotide ribosomal RNA is filed under the name uncultured bacterium. RNAcentral describes it as "partial 16S ribosomal RNA". It matches the Rfam family "Bacterial small subunit ribosomal RNA", at positions 524 to 776 of the family's 1533-position model. The record is from RNAcentral.
UACGUAGGGGGCAAGCGUUGUCCGGAAUCAUUGGGCGUAAAGCGUGCGCAGGCGGUUAUUUAAGUCAGAGGUGAAAUCCCCGGGCUCAACCUGGGAACUGCCUUUGUGACUGUAUAGCUUGAGUGCGGCAGAGGGGGAUGGAAUUCCGCGUGUAGCAGUGAAAUGCGUAGAUAUGCGGAGGAACACCGAUGGCGAAGGCAAUCCCCUGGGCCUGCACUGACGCUCAUGCACGAAAGCGUGGGGAGCAAACAGG